Long non-coding RNA from Acanthopagrus latus (yellowfin seabream), 3674 nucleotides. RefSeq lists it as uncharacterized. The transcript is spliced from 2 exons. The record is from RefSeq and is a predicted model, not a curated record. Lineage: Eukaryota; Metazoa; Chordata; Actinopteri; Spariformes; Sparidae.
ACCGUGAUAAAUAAGCUGUGGUCUGUUGCUCCGCAAUACCAGCACAAAUAUGAUAAGUUAUGGCAAAGUCGGAGGGAACUUCUCAGAAAGUGUGGUUUUAAAUGUAAAGGCUGAGAGCAAUCCUUCAAACUCAGAUGACACUGAGAGAUGGAUGCGGAGGGGCUGUCGUGCACAUUCGUGAUUCAGUGUUUCCCACCGCGAUCCUCUAAGACUUUACAGCUCUGAUCUUUAAUUUUCUCCAGCUGCGAGAUGCUUAGAUAAAGUUGUGUUGUUACACUCAGGAUUCUUUGCCUCCCUUCCCUACAAUUUGUCUUCCUCCUCCUCCUCCUCCUCCUCCUCCUCCUCCUCCCACAGUUUGGACACACUGAGCCGCAUGCUGUUCUUGUUUGCCUUUCCCAGAUUGCCCUGCUGCUCGGCCCGGUGCUGGUGGGAGUUGGCAGCCCCCCCCACCAAACCUCCCCAUCGUUUUAUCUCCACUGUCAGAUCCUACAGUUAUCUCUCAACCAUCCUACGCCGUCACAGUCAUAUUCACACACACACAAGCGACAGUUUUGUUUUGACAUUUUCCGCACUAUAAACACUGCUUUUUUUUUUCUUCAGGGGUGUAAAAACACACCAGGGAGUACAAAAUAUGGUGACAGGUCUAAAUAAACCCUAAGAUUUUUUAUAUCUGGAUUGUUUUCUUUAUUGCCAUCAUAACAUUUAGUUCAUGUACAUUUUUCAUUUUACCGUCAUUUAUCAGUCGAGCGUAUUCUUGUAAUGAUGCCCUGGAUUAUUCUUCAAAAAGGUUGCACGCUGCUUUUCCCCGUGAUUGUGGCACAAAUUCACAUGAACAUCUCUUGAUAAAUAUACUGUAUUUACCCUAAUAUAAAGUGGGAGAUUAUUGAGCUACGAGAACUGAUUUCGUGAAGUUUUUAAAUAAUCCCCCCCAAUGUGUUUUUAUUUUAUUUUUUUAUACAUAUGUCAAACUGCAUCAUUCUUGUCUUUGCUUUUCUUUUCUGCAGGAUCCUCCUGCGCCCCCACGAACAGCUGCAGAUGCAUGAAGCUAAGGUUGGAAAUCAACUUGGACUUUAGGGAUCAAAAACAUUUUAAACUUGUGUGUUGAUGCCGCACCUUUUAUACAUUAAUCCACUGUACGAGAAACCAAGAGGAGCUGAGUUUUGGGCGACCUGGUGGAUCUAACUUCUGAAACAAUGCUGCCCCCUUGUGUGUGCGCUCGCCUCUGAAAUGGGACCAUCAACAACAACGUGGCCUCCAUCACCGUUAACGAGGGAGAAAUCAAACCGACACACUCAGAAGAACUUCAUGAAUAUUUUAAAACUUUAAUAUACAGUGCUUCAUAAAUCAUUACUAAAAACACAGGUGGUAAAAAUCAAAUUGAACAAAUAAGUUACACUGUAGUAAAAAGCACUUGAGAUUCCUUUCCGUUUUCAACAUUAGUGUGAACCCCAUAUGAAAAUAGCAUAGAAAGUAUGCAAACAUAGAAUUUCAUUCAUAUAUAUCUUCUAAUCUUUAGCUAAAUAAACCAUUUUUUUGUCCCCUUUAAAAUUUCCCUUAACCGACUGGAUGAAAUGAGGAGAGUUUUACAGCUGUGUGUUUGUGUGUCGUGGCCUCGAUUUCAUCGCUAAUUCUUUUUUCUUUUUAAAACAGCUUGAAAACACUUUUUUUUUCUGUGGACAAUAAAUUUACCCUCCGUGAGAACCUCAAGACAAGCCUAAAUAAAAAUAUAAAUUAACAUACCAAACAUGUGAACAGUCUGCAAAAAACGUGUUUGUUUUUUUUCUCACUGACUGGCGGUACAGUUUAACAUUUGACCUCAAAGCACUCUCACACACACUUUUAACAGUAUUUCCACACACACACACACACACACACACACACACACACACACACACACACACACACACACACACACACACACACACACACACUCUCUCUCUCACACACACAGUCUGUGCAUAGACCCAGGAUUAACUUGUGGAGUAACUGGUAACUGGAGCCGUUUUCUGCCCGCUCCCCCAACUCCCCACUGUGGUUUGUCCUUUAAAGGAAAAUAACCCUUUAACCCAUUUGUUGCUGUGGCAACAGAAGCUGGCUCCGGGCCGAAAGGGCUUAACAUUGAGAUACGUAGAGAUAGACGGAUCAAAACAUCGCCGUUUCCAUAGUCCAAAUCAGUGCCCGCUAUCAGCAACAAGGUAAACAGAAACAAGUCAACGGUAGAUACACGUGUCGGGGGUGAAACAACCACCUUCAAUUUUAUCUGCGUACAAAAUUGACUAUAUUUGAACAGUUUUUCGUCACAUUAUUGAACAGUUUUUUUCCCCCCGAUGCAUAUGUGAGCUGUGUUGCUCUGCCUGCCCCCUUCAUCUACUGCUGACCCAGAUCCUGACGGUAUCAGCUGAGCGAGUCGGUGUGUCACGACGACCUGAACAUGGUUUGAGACGCUUCUGCAUGCCGGCAAAGGGAGAAUCUGAGAGCAAGUUUCACAUUUACAGUCACUGGAUAUCAACAAACAGGGAAGUUUAACGUGAAGAAAUAUGAGUCUGAUCGGAGAAUUUUAGAAUCUCUUGUAAAAACAAAACAAAAAACAAAACAUGCAAAAUUGAGAAUUGAGUCUGGUUUACAGAAGAACGCUUACGGCCUGUUUACUGGCAGUUAAUAAUUUACUGAUACAUGUUAUGCAUUCGUAACAGAUCUCCUCCUGAGGAGUCUCGUGUCGGCGUUCGAAAGCUCCUGUUCGAACCUUUCAAAAUCUGGGUCAAGUACAGUUCACAGGAAAGAGCGCGUCUGCUCCUCUUAGAGCACGAGAGUCAUCUAUUUCCGGCAAAAAAAUAAAUAAAUAAAAAGAUCUGUGGGAGGCGUAACAAGUAAACAGAAGAAACAGCAAAUGAAUGUCUAAUUUUCAACCUGCGGAUUUCUUCUGUUGAGAACCUGCAGAAAUGUGGGUCGGGUUUCGUUUACAGUAAAGUACGCUUCCUCUUCCUUUAAUAACUGUUUGUAUCAGCAAAUUAUGCACUGUUAUCUGGAGAACGAGGAUAGUGUAAUGUAAAAACCUGCUAAAUUUGAUUUAGGUAUGGUUUUGCAGAGAGGAAUGACCUGUUUAUUGACGAGAGGAAAUAAUUAUCCAACGUGUUUAUGUGUGAGGAAAAGACAAAAAAAAAGAGGAAGCUCUCGAAUGUCUUACGUAGAGGAGCGUGUGCUCCAAAAGACAAAAAAAAAAAGGAAAUAUGUCUCAUGUUAGCAUUCAAAGUCUUUUGGGUAAAGUUCGGUCUAAAGUAAAGAGUGUUGCCUUUAACCCAGACUGCAUCAGGGAAUUAUUUACUGUGUUUAAGGGAGCGAGAGUGAACUCUUGGCUAAAGUUUCAGGGGGGCAGGCGCGUCAUAAAACGCCGAUAUCCGUUUCCAGAAUUUGUGCUGUUUGUUGUCUUUCCCGGGUUCGUUAUGUGUAUCUACAGAGAGCUGCGGUUUCAACAGUCAAGAGUCGGUGCCUCCUAUCAGUUACAGGGUUGACAGAGAGGCAUCCAGAGCAGUCAGUCAGUCAGGAGGGAGGGAGGGAGGGCUGCGACGCUCUGGUAAACAGGAGGGGGGUCAACUUGUUCUAUUGCACAUACGUUUCUGCCUUUUCUUCAUUUCUGGCUUCCGAAAAAAAAAAAACAUUUAAAAAAAAAAAAAAAA